CUUUUCUUCAGGAUCGAGAGUGCUGCUCUUAUUAUUCACCACUUCGGUGUAAGAAAUCAAUUUAGGACCUCGAACUCUUUCUAUCCACGUCCUCUCUCUCUUUCCAAUACCCGAAUGGACCGGAGCACUUACCAAACCGCAGGUGGUUAGCGUGUCGUGUGAAGCGGCGUGCCCUCAGCCCUAAACUCUGGCUAGCGUGUGAAUGUUUGAGCAGGAAACAGGUUGAUUUAGGGAAAAGGGGGAAAGGCCACAGGAGGCGACUCUGGGCGUGUGAUGGUCAGGCUAGAUUACAGGAAUCUUGGCAGUGAAGCUUUUCCUCCCCGCUCCACCCAGUCUUGAGUUUAGAGACGGCCGGCGCUGACCUGUCCCGUUCCCGCUGAACUCUCCGAUCGAUUACAGCAGCUCCCUUUCCUGCCUUCUCACAGGCGCGCGGAUGGAUUCAGCGCCGCUUCAGCACGCCUGCUUCCUCUCCCAGCGCGGAGGGAAAAAAUAGGUCACGCUUCGGUGAACUCGAAGUUGUUAAUUGAGUAGUGAUAAAAGGCAAAGUUUUUUGCUUUCCGUUCCUUUUUCUAAAAAAGAAAAAGGUGUUUAUAGUAUUCCCUCAAGAUUCUUGAUUUUUUGCUCAGAGUGGCAGUAAAAUAUAUGGAAGCCCGUUUCGGCCAAAAAGUGUCCAUUAUAGGUCUUUUGCAAAAGCCAGUUGUUCAAUUACAUCGUCGUCCAGGAAGUGAAAUCAUUUUUUGGAGCAAAACACAACAGCACAGUUGCCAUGGAAACUCGCACCUCAUUUGGACCCUUUCGUUCUUCAUCAGGUACGUAUACGCUCCCGUUUAAUGCU
Molecule: long non-coding RNA, 835 nt
Organism: Onychostoma macrolepis
Lineage: Eukaryota; Metazoa; Chordata; Actinopteri; Cypriniformes; Cyprinidae
Exons: 3
Source: RefSeq, a predicted model, not a curated record